This 433-nucleotide ribosomal RNA is filed under the name uncultured bacterium. RNAcentral describes it as "partial 16S ribosomal RNA". It matches the Rfam family "Bacterial small subunit ribosomal RNA", at positions 29 to 507 of the family's 1533-position model. The record is from RNAcentral.
AACGAACGCUGGCGGCAUGCCUAACACAUGCAAGUCGAACGAGACCUUCGGGUCUAGUGGCGCACGGGUGCGUAACGCGUGGGAACCUGCCCUUAGGUUCGGAAUAACUCCCCGAAAGGGGUGCUAAUACCGGAUAAUGUCUUCGGACCAAAGAUUUAUCGCCUUUGGAUGGGCCCGCGUUGGAUUAGCUAGUUGGUAGGGUAAAAGCCUACCAAGGCGACGAUCCAUAGCUGGUCUGAGAGGAUGAUCAGCCACACUGGGACUGAGACACGGCCCAGACUCCUACGGGAGGCAGCAGUGGGUAAUAUUGGACAAUGGGCGAAAGCCUGAUCCAGCAAUGCCGCGUGAGUGAUGAAGGCCUUAGGGUUGUAAAGCUCUUUUACCCGGGAGGAUAAUGACAGUACCGGGAGAAUAAGCUCCGGCUAACUCCGUG